This 496-nucleotide ribosomal RNA is filed under the name uncultured bacterium. Its description in RNAcentral is "partial 16S ribosomal RNA". It matches the Rfam family "Bacterial small subunit ribosomal RNA", at positions 30 to 523 of the family's 1533-position model. The record is from RNAcentral.
AUUGAACGCUGGCGGAAUGCUUUACACAUGCAAGUCGAACGGUAGAGGGGGCAACCCCUCGAGAGUGGCGAACGGGUGAGUAAUAUAUCUGAACGUGCCCAGUCGUGGGGGAUAACGUAGCGAAAGUUAAGCUAAUACCGCAUACGAUCUAAGGAUGAAAGCGGGGGAUAGCAAGACCUCGCGUGAUUGGAGCGGCCGAUAUCAGAUUAGGUAGUUGGUGGGGUAAAGGCUCACCAAGCCAACGAUCUGUAGCUGGUCUGAGAGGACGACCAGCCACACUGGAACUGAGACACGGUCCAGACUCCUACGGGAGGCAGCAGUGGGGAAUUUUGGACAAUGGACGCAAGUCUGAUCCAGCCAUUCCGCGUGCAGGAUGAAGGCCCUCGGGUUGUAAACUGCUUUUGUACGGAACGAAAAGGUCUCUCUUAAUACGGGGGGCUCAUGACGGUACCGUAAGAAUAAGCACCGGCUAACUACGUGCCAGCCGCCGCCGUAA